Molecule: ribosomal RNA, 256 nt
Filed under: uncultured bacterium
Lineage: Bacteria
Description: partial 16S ribosomal RNA
Rfam family: Bacterial small subunit ribosomal RNA
Source: RNAcentral
UACGUAGGUGGCAAGCGUUGUCCGGAUUUAUUGGGUUAAAGGGUGCGUAGGCGGUUUUUUAAGUCAGUGCUGAAAUACUCCAGCUUAACUGGAGGGGUGGCAUUGAUACUGGAAGACUUUGGAGUACAGGAUGAGGUAGGCGGGAAUUGACGGUGUAGCGGUGAAAUGCUUAGAUAUCGUCAAGAACACCGAUAGUGAAGACAGCUUACCAAGCUUCAACUGACGCUGAGGCACGAAAGUGUGGGGAUCAAACAGG